Molecule: ribosomal RNA, 253 nt
Filed under: uncultured bacterium
Lineage: Bacteria
Description: partial 16S ribosomal RNA
Rfam family: Bacterial small subunit ribosomal RNA
Source: RNAcentral
UACGUAGGGUCCGAGCGUUGUCCGGAAUUACUGGGCGUAAAGAGCUCGUAGGUGGUUUGUCGCGUUGUUCGUGAAAACUCACAGCUCAACUGUGGGCGUGCGGGCGAUACGGGCAGACUGGAGUACUGCAGGGGAGACUGGAAUUCCUGGUGUAGCGGUGGAAUGCGCAGAUAUCAGGAGGAACACCGGUGGCGAAGGCGGGUCUCUGGGCAUCUCCUGACGCUGAGGCGCGAAAGCGUGGGGAGCAAACAGG